RNAcentral lists this long non-coding RNA (768 nucleotides) under Ananas comosus (pineapple). RNAcentral's name for it is "long non-coding RNA (ACOM_LNC037517)". The record is from RNAcentral. Lineage: Eukaryota; Viridiplantae; Streptophyta; Magnoliopsida; Poales; Bromeliaceae.
UCACAUAAAUAUACUCCCAAAAUACUAUUCACAUCAGAUUGUGGCUCAGGUACAGAUAUUUUUCGUCUGCCCUUCAGAACGUCCGAUUGAGCUCAAACUUGGCAGUCACGAUCAGUUUAACCUUACUUAACGAAAGAAAUUUUAAUCUUUCAGUUUCGACCCCGUUUGGUCACUGAAAGCUGUACAAAACUGUAAUUUUUAUCAGAUAACUGUCGGAUUGUAAUUUCCACCUUCUGGGUGUCAGAAUGGCAUGAAACUUUAAAUCUAGCCUCAUAAAAAUAAUCCUAACGUAUUCGCAAAUUUUCGGAAUUUUCUGACACCGUGCAUUUUCUGCUAAAAUAUCAGCCCGGUCUCACACAGAAAAUUCUCAAUCUUCUAUUUUCACUCCGAUUUCCGCACGAGUCAAUCCUGACGUAUAAUUUACUUGUCUAAGUCUAAUAAAAAUAGUAUCUCACACUAUUUUUAUUUAUAUUCACUUUUAAUAAAAAAAAAAAUCCGGUAUGCUACAUAAGCUUUGCCCCUUCUCAUACUAAAUUCCAAACUAGGGUUUGGAUUAACCUAGAAAUGGUUUUAAUGGAGUAUUUAGAGUAUUGGAAGCUUUUCUUUUGCUUCUUUUGAAAUCAAGACCAUAGAAAUGGUGAAGCUUGAGGUGAGCUUCAUCACCUCUCAUGGUGAAACCCUAAGUAGGGUUUUGAUUUGUCUAAAGAUGGUUCUAAUGGACUUUUUAGAGGAUAAUGAAGCUACUUUUGCUUCCCAUUGAGAUCAAAC